UACGUAGGGGGCAAGCGUUGUCCGGAAUUAUUGGGCGUAAAGCGCGCGCAGGCGGCUUUUUAAGUCUGGUGUAUAAACCUGAGGCUCAACCUUGGGACGCAUUGGAAACUGGGGAGCUUGAGUACAGCAGAGGAGAGUGGAAUUCCACGUGUAGCGGUGAAAUGCGUAGAGAUGUGGAGGAACACCAGUGGCGAAGGCGACUCUCUGGGCUGAAACUGACGCUGAGGCGCGAAAGCGUGGGGAGCAAACA
Molecule: ribosomal RNA, 250 nt
Filed under: uncultured bacterium
Lineage: Bacteria
Description: partial 16S ribosomal RNA
Rfam family: Bacterial small subunit ribosomal RNA
Source: RNAcentral